GCGAUGAAGCGGGAGGUUGCCAUGCCCCUGGCAUGGGUUUUUCCGUGGAGUAUGUCCGAUUUUAAACCGGGCGACA
Molecule: non-coding RNA, 76 nt
Filed under: Neobittarella massiliensis (ex Bilen et al. 2018)
Lineage: Bacteria; Bacillati; Bacillota; Clostridia; Eubacteriales; Oscillospiraceae
Description: S10-Clostridia ribosomal protein leader
Rfam family: S10-Clostridia ribosomal protein leader
Source: RNAcentral